This 300-nucleotide unclassified non-coding RNA is filed under the name uncultured fungus. RNAcentral describes it as "sequence contains 5.8S rRNA gene, ITS2". The stretch from base 1 to 71 matches the Rfam family "5.8S ribosomal RNA", at positions 84 to 154 of the family's 154-position model. Lineage: Eukaryota; Fungi. The record is from RNAcentral.
GUGAGUCAUCGAAUCUUUGAACGCAUAUUGCGCCUGAGGCUUCGGCCGAGGGCAUGUCUGCCUCAGCGUCGGCAUAACCCCAUCACCCACAAUACUUGUGAGUGGACUUGGCAGUCCCAGUCUGGGUCUGCCGAAUUGCAGCAGUUGCUAUCAGGACCCGCCUUUGGCGUGGCCAUUCAGUUUGGUAGGUAACCCCUGGUUGCAUGCCACUGUUGGCCAUUGUGGCCUGUUGUAGUACACUGGCAGGAAACCAAGGGCCUCGAGCCCUUUCUCAUUUCGACCUGAGGUCAGGCAAGAUUA